GUCCACGCCCUAAACGAUGUCUACUAGUUGUCGGGUCUUAAUUGACUUGGUAACGCAGCUAACGCGUGAAGUAGACCGCCUGGGGAGUACGGUCGCAAGAUUAAAACUCAAAGGAAUUGACGGGGACCCGCACAAGCGGUGGAUGAUGUGGAUUAAUUCGAUGCAACGCGAAAAACCUUACCUACCCUUGACAUGGACUGAAUUCCUGAGAGAUUGGGAAGUGCUCGAAAGAGAGCCGUUACACAGGUGCUGCAUGGCUGUCGU
This 264-nucleotide ribosomal RNA is filed under the name uncultured bacterium. RNAcentral's name for it is "partial 16S ribosomal RNA". It matches the Rfam family "Bacterial small subunit ribosomal RNA", at positions 793 to 1055 of the family's 1533-position model. The record is from RNAcentral.